AAAGAGAGGCAGUUCUGUCAGUGGAACUCUUCACGGGCCCGGUCGCACCAGGUUUCUCGGCCUUGGGCCAUGGCUCGACCCAACAACAGGGGCCCAACCCACCUGUUCUCCCUCUCGAGGCCAUGGAGGCCGCGAGCAGCAAGCAGGAGGAGACGGGGAGGAGAGGAGGCGCAGGAGAUGGCGGCGCCGGGGACGACGAGGCGAAGAGGAAGGAGGAGACGCUCGCAUCCAGCAGGCUCCUCGAUCCGGGAUUCAAGCCCUCCAAGCUGUCGCAGGACCGGCUCGACAAGUUCAAGGAAUUGCACAAGAAACGGUUACAGAUAACUGAAAAGCCAAAGCAUAAAAGAAAACUGAAAGGAACAACUGGGAGAAGUACCAAAGUAAACGAUGAUUAUAAAUUCCCUGACAAGGAUGAAUCUGCUGAUAGUUCUCCAAGAGAUGUACACUAUUCAUCGUCAGUUACAGUAAUUCAAGAGGAUCCUGCAUCAGCGAUGUCCUCAAGGAACAAAAGGAAGCUACAUUGGGGCAUCGAUGGUCUUUGGCGCUUGUCUCAUCUCUCAUCUGUCCUAGACUCCUAUCUAUUCCAGACUUGAUAUUAAAGAACGAUGGGAAAGGAAGGCAAACAUGUGAAUAUCUGAAGAUCUAACAGCAAAGAUUCAUGUUUGUUAAAAGGUUCAUGACUUGAUAUCCAGCUGCAUUCAACUAAAAGCUGAAGGGCAAAAGAAAAAUGGCAGGCCGUUUCUACAGACUAUCAGGUUGCUGGUCAGGUUCAUGUUUGUGUCAGCAGGCAGAACACUGGAGGCCUGGAGCGCAAAGAAAAAUUCCAGAACUGAGCAGGAAGUUAGCAUCAGAUUUUCUUGGUUUUGCCUGAUAUUUUCUCCAGAUGCUUGGCUAGACUUUGCUCUGUUGUACCAUCUGAUUCAAGCUUUCAAGUGCCAGCCAGGAUAGUGUUUACGCGUUCACUUCUUGCGAUACGUUUUGUUUUAUGUUUGUCGCCUUCACUUGUUUAUCGCUUUCACUUCCUGUGAGAUUGAUGGUACAGCAGAGGCCCACGUUCAGGAUCUGUGCAACCUUUGCAAGGCCGAGCAGGCUAGUGUUGAUUUGGGCCUUUUCCUUUGCAACUGUUACAAAUGUUGAGUAUGAUUUGAUAGCAUAAUUGCACAAAGGAUUAUGUCUCA
Panicum virgatum (switchgrass) is the source of this 1178-nucleotide RNA transcript. RefSeq lists it as uncharacterized. The record is from RefSeq and is a predicted model, not a curated record. NCBI's taxonomy places the organism in Eukaryota, Viridiplantae, Streptophyta, Magnoliopsida, Poales, Poaceae. The transcript is spliced from 6 exons.